RNAcentral lists this long non-coding RNA (365 nucleotides) under Rhinopithecus bieti (black snub-nosed monkey). Its description in RNAcentral is "lncRNA (ENSRBIG00000046719.1)". Lineage: Eukaryota; Metazoa; Chordata; Mammalia; Primates; Cercopithecidae. The record is from RNAcentral.
GCCCACUCCAGGCCUCACCCUCCAGGCUGGGAGCCCCGCCCACUCCAGGCCUCACCCUCCAGGCUGGAAGUUCUGCCCUCCCAGGCCUCUGGAUCCUGGCUGGGAGCCAUCUCUGCCUGCUCCCUUUUCCUGGACUCCUGAUCAGAUAUUCCUCAACCGUGACAUCAGCAACCAUCUUAGGCCAUUGGCAGGGAGUGAGCUGACUACUCCCCAGGGUCUCAGGUAAGGAAAAGAUAAUGGUUUUCAGUUUGUAAGGUCAGCGUGAACAGUAUCUCCCAGAGGCCUCUGUACUAUGAUUACAGCCACCUUGGCAUAAAUGAGCACUUAUCAAAUCCACGAGAGGCAAACAGACAUCUGCAGGCAGC